AAACAGAGAUCAAAGCAGUUGCUGAUGAGUUCUUUAAAAUCUUCAGGAGCCAAGCACACCACCUGCCUAAUAUCUGUUCCGAUAAAAUACACAAAAUCUAGGUACAUGAAGGUGACUGGGAGACUCAGGGAUCCGUCAAGCAUUGGAUGUUCAAAUUGAUGAAUGGUAGUUUUUCAUUCAUACUUUCUUUCGUUCAUAUACAGAGUAUAUAUAGAGGGUAAUCACCAUUCUAAGAAUGAGAAAGGAUGAUACAAGGAAAGAAUAAUAUAAGGAAAUAACAACUAAUAUCCUAAUAUCUCAACUUUCCUAAUAUCUCAAUAUUCCUAAUAUCUUAAUAUUCAUAAUAUCUUAACUUUCCUAAUAUCUAAACACUAAAUGAUAUAAGGAAAUAAUGAUAUAAGGAAAACAUUCCUAAUAUCUCAACACUCCCCCUCAAGUUGGUGCAUAGAUGUCACACAUGUCCAACUUGUCUAAAAUUUUUUGAGAAUACUUGACUUGAGACAGCUUUGGUGAGGAUAUCGACUAACCAAUCUUACUUUCCACCUUGGAUCAACUAAGGCUUCUUGCACAUUGUUAGGAAUAACUACAGUAAAUAAUUGAUUUACAAAUGACUUAUUUGAUUCAGACAAACGAUGGUUAGACACAUAGUUGCUCAUGGGAUAUUUGACUUUGGUAGACAAAUCAGGUUCAUAUGUGGGUUUAGGAAUACCAAGAUUAUGACGAUGUGGUAACCGUUUCAUGAAUGGAUCGGGUUCCAAAUUAAGAACACCCUCAACAGACGACGAUUGGUUUGAUAUUUCAGUGAAGACAUCUUCAGACCCAAAUUGUUGACCUCUCAUAUCCAACUCACCCACUUCCUGGUUCACUAGUUCAGAUUGUCCAGAUUCAUUCUCCUUAGAGAUAUGAUAAUCAUAAUCAAGAGUCUGAAUUUCCUUAUGGUACUCCCCCUGAAGUUCAGACUCAGAUGAAAAUUACAUCGAAUCUUCAUGAAACACCACAUCCAUUGUAAUAUACAUUUGUCGAGUUGGAGGAUGGUAACAUCGAUAUCCCUUUUUGUGCAAUGCAUAUCCAACAAACACACAUUGCAAUGCAUGGGAAGUUAACUUAGUGCGUUGGUGCUUGUGUAGAUGCACAAAUGCCACGCAACCAAAAACACGAGGAGGUAGAUUUGGGACGGUUGGGGCAACUACGACAUUAGUAAGAGCUUGGAGAGGUGUUUGAAAGUUAAUUGAGCUAGAAGGUACCCGAUUGAUCAAGUAUACGGCAGAUGUGAUUGCUUCUCCCCAAUAAGAUAUCGGUGUUUUUGCUGCUAUCAAGGAAGCACGAAAAACCUCUAACAAGUGCCGAUUUUUUCGUUCAACGACUCCAUUUUGCUGGGGUGUAUUGGAACAAGUAGUUUGAUGAAUGAUGCCAUGUCCUUCCAAAUACUUUUGAAGAUCAGAACUUUGAUAUUCUCCACCAUUAUCACUACGCAGAACCCGAACCUUUGCAUUGUAUUGAGUUUCAAUCAUUUUAUGAAAUUUUUGAAACAACAAGUUCACUUCAUCUUUGGUCUUCAUCAAGUAUAACCAUGUCAUUCUGGUACAAUCAUCAAUAAAAGUAACAAACCAACGCGAACCACUCAAAGUUGGGACUUUGGAUGGGCCCCAAACAUCAGAAUGUAUAAUCAUAAAAGGAGACGGACUUUUAUUCAAAAUUAAUGGAAAGGAAGCACGAUGGCUUUUAGCCAAUUCACAAAUAUCACAACGGAAACCAGAAAUAUCACUCUUUGCAAACAAACUAGGAAAUAAUUUUUUUAAAUAUCCAAAGGAAGCAUGUCCCAAACGUCGAUGCCACAACCAAAUUUCAGACUUUUUCUUCUCUUCCUCAGAUCCAUCUGCCAUCAAGGCUUGUCGCAACUUAUUUGAAUCAUUUGACUGCAAGUCCAAAUAAUAGAGUUUUCCCCGCUUAAUACCAAAACCAAUCGUCUGUCUUGUUUGGAUGUCCUUAAAAACACAAAAUUCAGGCCAAAAAAUGACAAUACAAGAUAAGACUGCAGUGAUUUGAGAAACUGACAAAAGAUUGUAAUUUAAGGAUGGAACAACUAAAAUAGAAUCCAAAUUCAAAGUAUCAGUAAGAGUUAAGGAUCCUUCCCCAAUGACUGGGGUUGUGUUACCAUUGGCUGUGGAAACAAAUUUUUGUGAGGAAGGUCUAACGGGUGAGACUUGUCUAGAAUCAAAAGUCAUAUGAUCUGUAGCACCAGAAUCAAUUAUCCAUGCAUUAUUAAUAACAGGUGUAGAAGUAUUUAAAAACUUACCACCAUAAUCUGUAGCGGCUAUCAAUGCAGAGGCUUUCUCAUCAACAUUAGCCUCUGUUUUUAUUUCGGCAAUAGCUGCAGUCGAGGUUUUCUUGGAAUUCUUCUUCUGUUGAUCACGAUUGUGAUCCCACCAGUCUGGAUAUCCCACAAUUUCAAAGCAACGACUCUUGGUAUGACCAGUCUUAUUGUAGUGAGUGCAUUUGAAGGUUGACUUAUCAAUAUUAUGGUCUGUCUUAGGAUGAUUGGUCUUGGAUUGGUCCUGCCAAUUUCGGGUUAAUUGUUGUCGGACUACCAUAGCUGAGGUGUCAGGGUUGUCAGAUUCUGCUUUCAUACUAGCAUGACGUAAUGCCUCUCGUUGAAUCAGUGCAUAGCAUUCUUCCAAAUAGGGAAGAGGAUCUUUGCGUAGAAUCUCUCCUCAAACUUGCUCAAAGUCACCACCCAAUCCAGCAAGAAAGAUGUGCACCCGUUGUCGUUCAAUGGAUUUCCGGUAUGCUGCAAUGUCUUCAGGGUCUUUCAUGACUACCUUCUCCCGAUGAUCCAAUUCGCAAAAAAGUUCAAUUAACUCUCCAUAAUAUUCAGAAAGAGACCUGCCGUUUUAUUUGGCAGUGAAGACUUUUUGAUUCAAAGUGAAAACUUGUAAUUCAUCACUUUCAUCAUAGAAGGCCUUUGAUAAUGCACUCAAAAUUUCUUGAGCGGUGGGUAAGCGUAAGUAAUGCUUCAUAAUUUCUGGACUCAUGGACAUUAACAACCAUCUCUUCACCUUUUGAUUCUCAGCAUACCAUUUUUCAUAUCCAUCUUCUGACUCUUUUGGUAGAUUUGUCUUACCUCGGAUGUAGGAAAGUUUUUCCCGUUCGGCAAUAUGCAUCUCCACGAGUUGUGACCAAACGUCAUAGUUUGAUUUAGUCAAAAUAAUUCCUGAAUUGAAAGUACCUUCAGAUUGAAAAACAAUAAUACUUUUUUCACUCAUUUUUUUUUUCUCUCGCAAAGAAGGGGCAAUUGUUGGCCUUACAACAAAAUAUCCAGGAUUUCAGGAACCUAGCUCUGAUACCAUGUUCAAAUUGAUGAAUGAUAGUUUUUCAUUCAUACUUUCUUUCGUUCAUGUACAGAGUAUAUAUAGAGGGUAAUCACCAUUCUAAGAAUGGGAAAGGAUGAUACAAGGAAAGAAUAAUAUAAGGAAAUAACAACUAAUAUCCUAAUAUCUCAACUUUCCUAAUAUCUCAAUAUUCCUAAUAUUUCAAUAUUCAUAAUAUCUUAACUUUCCUAAUAUCUAAACACUAAAUGAUAUAAGGAAAUAAUGAUAUAAGGAAAGCAUUCCUAAUAUCUCAACAUUGGAGUUACACCAUUGGUAUAACAUGCAACUCAAACUCAGAACUCCAAAACACUAGCUGGCAUUAUAUUCUGCUAAAAUAUUUUUUGAUGUUUAUCUUUCAUUUCAUUGUUGUUUUCUUCACCUCUCAAAUUUUCUUUUAUAAUAAAUGCAUGCCUCUUUGUACUUUUUUUUUUCUUGCAAAGAAGUGACUAUAAUCGAUGGUUCUUAGUAAUGUAUAUGGCAUCUAAUAAUAGCUUUAACAUAUUCCAAUUAUGUUUAACCUCACAUUUUGGUUUGAACUAGGAGGGAAUUCUAAGAGUAUUAAGGAGACUGUGGAAUCAAAAGAUGAAGAGAACAGGUCCAUCACGUUCAAGGUUUUGGAUGGGGAGCUGUUGAACGACUACAAGAGCUACAAGUUCACCACACAAGCGAUACCAAAGGGGGAGGGCUGCUUGGUGAAAUGGACCGCUGAAUAUGAGAAGGCAAGUGAGGAUGGAUCAGAUCCCCGUGGCUACCUGGAGCUUGCAGUUAAUAUCACCAAAGAUAUCGAAAGUCACCUUCUCAAUGCAUAACGCCAAGACCAUAUGUACCGUUUGCUAGUAUUUCUCUCUUAAAUAAAGUUUGGAACUUGGAUGUGCAUCUAUGUACUAUCUCGACCUUUUAAUAAACGCAAAUUCCAGCUGUACUGGAGUUGGUGACUAAUGCCGAGAAGACAAACUAGGUUCCCGAUCCUCAGUUAUUUAUGCAAUAAUAUUAAUUAGUGCAUGCGUGUGAUUAGUUGUAUGGUUCUGGGAGUUGCUUUGUGAUUGUUAAUCGGUGUCUUUUGUAGUGGGAUUAUUACAUGCAUGUAAUGUGAAGAACAUAUGAUCCAUGAGGAAAUAAAUUAAAUGAAAAUUACCCAGGCUCCAUCAUGAGGAGCCUUUGAGCAUGCCCACAAGCCUACGUUCCUGCAUUCAAGUCACAUAUGUGAAAAUUCCACUUUGCACAUAAUCUAAAUAAUUUAUCUAAAAAUCUAAGAAGUAAUCUCUCUCUCCAUCUAUGUCUCUCUCUCCCCAUCUAUAUGUACCUCAAAUGAAGAGGUAAGGUAAUGUAAAAUCCCCACCUCAAAUUUAGGGAUAUUUAUAUAAUUUGAAAAUUUUAAAAAGACCUACAUUAAUUUUGUAAAUAUUUAUGUAAUCAACUUUCUCAGAUUAAUUAAAUAAAAAAUUGACCAAGAUGAUUAAAAAUGCAAAUUUGAUGAGGACAUGAAGUAAAAAGUGGUAGGGUUUAAGGACAAUGGCUUCUACUGAAUUUUGGUGAGGUGGUGAUACAAUGAGGAAAAUAGAUUAAUAAAGUUUAUCCAUGGAAAUAGAAAAUAGAAAACAAAAAAUAUAAAAUAAUAAUAAUAUUCAUGUUAAUCAUUUAAUAAAUAUAAUAAAUGCAAUUAUAUAUGCUAAGUGAAAAUAACAAUAUUAUUAUUAUUAUUAUUAAUGCUUAUGAUAGGUGAGAAUUAAGUCUUUUAGAAAUUUGAGUAAUUUUUUCAAGGUAAAGCUUAUAGUUCAUUAAGUCAUUUUAUAAUUCCUUAUAUAUUUUUUUAUUGAUUUUUAAAGUAUCAAAAUGUGUAAAUUCUUUAAAGUGGAUCAAAUAGUUUUUUUUUUUUUUGAAAUAUUUUGUGAUUUGUUUGGUUGUUAUGAAAGUGAAUUUUAUUACUUAAUUUAUUAUAAUGAUUUUAAAACUCUAGUUAUUAGUGGUUUUAGUCAACAAGGAUAAGUUAUUAACCUUCUUUACCUUUGGUCAGUGAAGGGAUGUAGUAUAACACUAGCCAAUAAAUGUGUCAUUGGUCUUGUAUACUAUUGAUUAGAAAUUGUUAUGUCCACCAAUGAGAGUAUUAAAGUGAGGUGAGCCACCUAAUGUAAGUCCCAAUAUUUGGGCACAACGUUAUUAUUAAUUAAUAAACAAAAAUAAAUAGUUUAUUUAUAAAAAUUUUUUUCUAAAUAUAAAUUGAGUAUGCAAAUUGUAUUUUUUAAUUCUAUCUUUAAAUUUAAAGUGUUUAAUCUUUUGAAGAAAGUGAAUUUAAUUUUUUGAAGAAAGUGAAUUUAAUUUUUGAAUUAAAUAAAUUAACCUGAUAAUUGAUUUUUAUAAAAAUUUGAUAUCUCUUAGAAUUUAAUUCUCUACAAUAUAUACCUGAUUUUUUUCAUUGAACUAUUUUUUCUUAUUGAACCAUUGAAGUCACCCUUCUUUAUUAUUCCCCUUUUCAUAUACAAAUGGUAUAAGUGAGAAGGGAUUACGGGAGGAGAAAUGUUUCUAUUAUAAACAACUUUGGAAUUGAAUUAUGUUGGAUUGUGAAACGUGAAUCGGUUUAAUUUAUUGUAUUUUGCAAGGAAUGCUAGAGGUCGAGUGUCUAAUUGAGCUUGCGGGGAUCAAGAGUCUUGAUCGGUUCGUUGGGACUUGGGAUUGAGUUGUCCAAUCAGCUCAUGGGGUUAAAGGAAUAUCCUUCGAUUUUUUUUAAUACGAUGAAUAACGAGUUUGUCCUAAUUGUAUAUUUAAUCUUAUUAUAAUUUAAAGUUUCUUUUUAGAGAGUGUGUGACUGCAAUCGAAAGGAUAAUGAGUGUUUAGUACUCGUCUUAUUUUUUUCUGAACCAAAUUAAAAAUCUAUUGUUUUUCUUUAUUUUCUAAUCGUGUGUGCAUGAUUUGAUCAACAAAUUAUUUAUAGGAUUGUUUACUUAAAUUUGAUUGUAAUUUAUUUAAGUUUUUAGGAGAAUCAUUAAAUUUAUUAUUACAAUAUUUUAUUAGUUUUGAAUUUGUUAUUUAAAGUGAUUCAUUUACUUGGUUCAAAGGUUUGACAUAUAAAGUCACCGUGGUUCCCUUGGUGUCGCGGGUGAUUUUGUAAGUGCCUUCGGACUACAGAAUAUUAAUUAACCUACCAAUCUUCAAUGUAAUCUAAGAUGCAGAAAGAUCUUGUGGGUUAAGGUCAAGUGGGCGCUUCAAUAUUUAUCAUGUCUUCAAAAAAAACUUCAGGGCCCCAGUCCAGAUUCUCAGAUAUGGAUUCUAACAGUUGCUACCAAUCACGGGGGUGAAAACAAAUCAGUGUCGCAGAAAUCGCUAUCAAUGUGGUACUGGAAAAAAAAGAAGAGAUUCCUCCACUUGUUCUUGAAAUUUAUCUGAACGCAUGCAAUAAAUCAAUGCUCCAUAAUCUCCUGCACAUGCAAAUUAAAAUCAAAAUCAGGCCAUUGGCCUCUCACAUUACCAUUCUUGGCCGUUUUCUGGUGUGCAUAUAAAGAGUAAUAACCACACCAUCCAUCUUUUACUCUGGUUGUCACACUCCCACCACUCUCCCACCACUUCUUCCCUAAUCUCCUAACAUCAAAUACAAAAAUGCCACAUCCUUAUUAUUGAAAAUUAAAUUCCCAUACAUAUAAAUCUUAUGCCAGAUUUUUUGUUGAUUGGAUGAUAUUCGGCCAUAUAAAAUUCAGUAUCAAUCACAAACAUUCGUUAUCCAAUCUUGAUACCGAAGAGGAUAGAGUAUCAAUCCAUCUAUGGGCCCGGUGCACCAGGCCUUCCGCCUAUAAAAGUUUUCUAGGGUGGUGAACUAUAUUCUUCAAACACAGCCUUGGCUAGUUACUAUCUGGUUUCCAAAGAAAGAAGAAAUGGCUCAGAUAGAUAAGAUGGAAACCCAUGUAGAGAAAAAGUCCCCUGCCAAUGAGUUCUACGAGGUCUUCAGCAGCAAAGCUCAUCUCAUUCCCAAGGCCUGCCCUGACAAAAUCAAGAGCAUCGAAGUGGUUGAAGGUGAUUGGAAGAGUGUGGGCUCUGUCAAGCUCUGGACUUACUGUAUCGGUAAGGCAACGCUAACCAUUAUUCCCAUGCCACCCUCAAUCAAACAAAAUAAUACACUCAGCACAUGGACCUUCUUGUUUUUAAUUAUUAUUGCUGUGGAAGAUAAUAAUAACAAAACAAAGGGAAUGACCCCUUCUGAUACGGGUGCCUCCUCAUAUUAGUUUUUUGAAGUUCUCCAUGCAAACUAAAGUAGAAAUCAAUCUUUAGGCACAUCCCUUAUCUGAGCUUCACAUGACCUUAGUUUCAUUUUAAAUUAACCUGCAGGAGGAAAUACUUCGUCUAGCAAGGAGAGGGUGGAAAAGAAAGACGAUAAGAACAAGUCCAUCACUUUCAAGGCUCUGGAUGGAGAGGUCAUGAAGGAUUUCAAGAGCGUCAUCUCCAUCCUUGAAGUGAGUGCAAAGGAUGACGGCAGCCUGGUGAAAUGGACUUUGGAAUAUGAGAAGUCAAAUGAGAAACUCCUACCUCCAGAUGCUUACCUCAGCCUUGUAAUUAGUAUGAGUAAAGAAAUCGACGCUUACCUUCUCAAGGCAUAAGCCGCAUAACAAGCCCUAUAUCCUUGACUUGAUAUGAAAGCAUCCUAGCCUGGGUCCUCCUGGGAAUAACGGAGUUGCUAUGCGUACCUCCAUAUUAUAUUAUCGACACCUACUGGCUACUGCUGUACUCCAUGUAACUUCUUGCUGUACUUAAUUAUAUGAGCUUCCUGAAUUAAUGUUGGAAUGAUAAAUCAAGCUUUAUGGUAGAAUCAAAUGAUUGCUCUAUCAUGGAAUAAAUUUCGCAAUAAAAAUAAAUAUUAGAGGAGAGUUAUGAAACGAAGCUUUUUUUUCUGCAUCAAAUUAACUUUUCAUACACUGUUUUUAAAACAAAUCAACAUACAAUGAUCUUAUGUUGUACCUUUUCCGUUGCAGAUUGCUUUUAAAAAUGUUCUCCCCACAGGCACUUCUAUGGUAUCUUUUCAAAAUUGCUAUUAUAUAUGUUUAAUUAACCAUUCAUUUUGGUCUAAAGCUAGGACGAACUUCUAAGACUGCCACGGAGACUCUGGAAAUCAACAGAUGAAGAAAAAAAUAAAAUAUAUCCAUGACUUCCAAGGUUUUGGAAGCAGAGGUCAUGAAUCAUUUCAAGAAGAUUCAAGUCAUCCAUGCAAGUAACAGCAAAGGAUAAGCGCAGCUAGGUGAAAUGGAGACUGGAUAUUGAGGGUCACUAUCUCAGAUUCUCAAGGCAUAGCAUUAAAAACAUAUCCUUUAAUUGGUAGUAUAAUCUCAAACUUGUAUGUAAAGACCAGACCGUGGAAGUGCAUAUAUGCAUUUUAUUCUUCAAUAAGCGCAGGCUUAGGGGGUAGUUCAAUAACCUCUGGGCUUAGUCAAUCCCGAGAAGAUAUUAAUAAAUUUCCCUGGAUUAUUCCUCUCAUGAAUAUCAGUGCCUGUAAUUUGGUUGUGUGCUAACGGGAGUUGCCUCUUGCGAUCGGUUGGGUUCUUUAAUAAACGCAUUAUUAGGUAUGAAUGAUCAGGAAAUUGAUAAGUAAAAAACAAUUUAAUUAUUUCACUUAAGUCAUAAACCAUUAUGAGGAGCCUUGGAAUAUAUGCAUGAGUCUAGAUUCUCGCAGCCACUAAUCACGUAGUCAAAAUUGGCCAGUCGCAAACAUUCCAAUCAUUCUUUAUGAUAAGAAAGAAGAGUUCACUCUUCUUUUUCUCGAGUUUUUUAUUUGGAGAGAGCAAUUUAUCAGCCUCACAUUUUGAGACCUUUCUUGGCACAUCACUUUCAGAAUCUGAUUUCCUAGCUCCACUAUAGAAGUAAAGCCAGUUGGGUAUCACAUUCUUGUUUUAUGUCUCCUUGAGUGGGUCGGGUGUAUAUAAAAAUUUGCCAGUUGAAGAUUUUCUUUGUUAUGCUAGUCUUUCUUUUUCUAACCUCCUGAUAUCAAAUGGGAAAAUGCCAUAUCGUUACUGGACAAUUGACCCAUAAUGGAGAGACUUUUGUUGGUUGGACUUGGGCUUUUAUAUAACUCAGCAACUAUCAUAAUUAUAGGAGAAAUUUGAAGUAACCAUAUUGAUUUGGGUCUACCAAGAAGCAAGGUGAAUCGUAACAUAUCAUGCAUAUAACUUGAUUCAAUUAUUUUAUAUUCUACUUGUUUCUUAUGUAUUUUUACUUUUAUCAAAUAGUUUAGAUAUCAUUACCAAAUAUUCUCCUGACAUUUUCCUAUUAUUUCUGUAAGAUGCUAUAAUCUACACCCAAAGUAGUGGACCACUUACACUUUAUUAUGUACUAACCACGAUCAUAACUUACAUUCUCCACCUUGGCCUCUCUCUUAUCCCAAAAAGUAAAGACUCAGGGUUCGUAUCCCUUCCCUUCUGUCUAUAUAGGUCUAAGAGUAGUCAAGUGUUUCCUUCAAUAGCCUUCAUAUUCUUGGCAGUAACUAGGUACUUGGUUUUCAAACACAACAAAAAUAAUGGCUCAAAUUGCCAAGAUGGAGGUCCAAGCAGAGAUCAAGUCCCCUGCCAGUAAGUUCCACGAGGUCUGUAGCCGUAAAGUUUAUCUCGUACCCAAGGCUUGCCCUGAAAAAAUUAAGAGCAUUGAAGUAGUUGAAGGUGACUGGAAGACUGUGGGCUCUGUCCAGCUUUGGACUUAUUUCAUCGGUAAGGCAAAAUCCAUCAUUCCACGCCUCCCCCAACAAACACAAGGACACAGAGCUCAAUUGUACUUCUAUUAUUAUUACUAUUAUUAGGAAAUAAUGAUAAUCUAAUGGUAAUGUGACUCUACUCAUGCCGAUAUAAACCCCGUAAUCUUGAUCUCAAAUUGCUAUCAAACAAAAGAAUAUCAAAUAAAGGUAAAGUGUGUCCCCUAUAUUUAUACGUAGAUAGAUGAGUUCUAAGCUUAGCACCAUGUUUUCCAUUUGAAAAACAGGAGGAAAUACCGAAGAGGCUAAGUUGGUGGUUGAAAGGGUAGACGAGGAAAACAAAACGGUCACUAUGAACGUUGUGGAAGGAGAUAUCGUGAAGUAUUUCAAGAUCUUCAAGUGCACUAUUCAAGUAACCGUAAAGGAUAAGGGCAGCUUGGUGACAUGGAGUGUGGAAUAUGAGAAGCUAAAUGAGAGUGGCCCCGCUCCAGAUGCUUACCUCAACUUUGCAAUGGGUAUCGUUGAGAACGUGGAUGCUUACCUUCUCAAGGCAUGACAACAAAGGCGUAUUCAUGAGUCAUGACAUGGUAUGAAGCACUGGUACAACAAAAACUUGGGAAUAAUGUACCACACGCCAUGUCCUCAACUUCUACUGGUCAUCGCUAUAAUAUUAAAAGUAACUUCUUAUUCUACUUAUAUACCUUCCAAGUACUUUGUGUCUUGAAUGUUAUUAUCUAAAAAUAAAAAUAGAAAAUCUCGAAGAAGAGCAUUGUCCUUCGACACUUUUCUUUCUUUCUUUCUUUCUUCACUGCUGAGAAUCUCAACGUACGACUACCAUUUGCAUUAUGGACCCAUGACUGCCAUCCUUUGACCACAUUUGUUGCCCUCCCACCAAACUCCUACGCGUCAAAAUUUCUAUUGUUGCUUGAACAAUAUUUUCAUUUGAAAAACAAGGAAACGAUUUAAAAAUUCUUAUCUCAUGUCUAGUUACCCCGGUCGACCAUAUAAAGUACCACUUGAUCACUCUAGUCUCCUUUGCUAGCCCAUGGGCAAUGCAAUACCCAGCAGGUCCCAGUAACCAACUCUAUGUUCCUCCGAAAAUGAAACAAAUCAGGUCGUUUCAGGGAUGCAUUUGAUCUCACCCUUUUGUUUUGUGUCCGUUAUUUUUUAUUUUAAUAUCACAUGUUUAUAUUUUAAUCUCAUUCUUUACACCUGGAUUUGCUGAUAAAGGCAACUUUCUUUUUGAGCUUUGAUCGAGAUUUUUAUGAAAUUCCUGUGAUAUUACCGUCCUGCUCCUGCUUAAGAAUGUAACUUUGAUUUUGCUUUUAGUGAAGUCUUUAGGUGUUGUUUAUUCCCCAAAAUCUUUUGAUGUUUCUGAAAUUGCUUCAGUGGACUUUGAGAGGUUGCAGGUACCUCUUUUCUCCUGAAAUAGAAUUUGUUUCAGUGGAGCAAGACAACAGGAUGAGCAAAAAAUAGAACCAAUUUUAUUGAUAUAUAUCAGGUUUUUGAGACGUUGAAGAACAUUUCUAACAACUUUUUUUGAUGGGUGACCAAGCCUAUUAUGCCACAAUGCAUAUACAGAACAAGAAGAAAAAGAAGCAGGUGUUGGAACUACAGAAGAAUUGUAUACUAAGGGUUGUGUUGACAUACUGACAUAUGACUUAUGAGGAGUUGAGGGAGAGAAGCUGCCACUGAUUAUUAAUGAGAUCAAUUUGAGACUGAUAAAAAACAUAAAGACCAUCUUUAGGCCUACCCCUCCAGUAGCACUGUUUUGAAGUGAAAUUCAAAGAAGACAUUCUUUUGGGCAAAUUUUGACACACUGAGAAGGUUCUAAUUAGCAAUUUCAGGGACAUGAAGUGUUUUAAAGAGUAAUUUCAGCAAACAUAACUUCAACUUUACAUCCACCUGACCUCAUUAUUUCAGUUUGACAAGAGGGCUUAAUUAUAUCAGUAUGACUGCUAAGAAGACUUUGGAAUAUUAUAAAACGAGUCCAUCAAGUUCAAGGUUUGGAAUGGAAAGAUCAUGAGUAAUUUCACUACUUUUAAGCUGAAUAUGAGAAGGUAAAUGAGGAUGUCCCAGACCCAAUGCUUACUAAAUCAUUGAAGGUCACCUUCUUGAGGCAUAAUUCCAAUUCUUUUCAUCGAUGCUUCUUAGAUGUUAUAAAACAAUACUAUGAAAAUGAAAACGUAAUGUAAUUUUGUCAAAGCCUUUUCCUUAUUGAAGACUCUGGACUGAUUGCGUGGGUGCGCAACACCCACCAUAAUUCCCACACCAACGCCCAACUAACCAAAUCACGUAAGGCCUCACAUGGCCUCAUUAUUAUUUCUGUUGAAAGAUAAUACUAUAUUACAUACGAGAUGGCCAUUCUACCAGCCACCUGUAAAGUUGGUGAUAAAUUGAUACUAAAAAUAGAAGGAAAAUUAAGUUGAAAUUAAGGGUGUCUAUUUAAAUUUAAUUAUUCCCUAGAUAUGAUCUUUUGAUAUGAUUUGAACCCGUUAAUCAUUUAUUUUUAUAUAAAGAGACAAAAAUUCAAUUGUAUAAUCCAGGAUGAGUCACUUGGCCGGGUUUUCGACGACAGCUAAAUCAACCUUCAUUUAGUAAUGAUUGCCCAUGAAAUAAAUUAUCAUGUCUCCUCACAAUAUAAUAAACUAAUAAAAAAUAAAAGAAGAUCACAAAGAAAAGCAUCUUAGUGGAAGUUUUUUUUUUUUUUUUUUUCUUUCAUUUGUUGGUGGUGACACUCCGUGAAAUGUGAUCAACUAGCAUUUGAAUUACACAACCUAAUGCAAAUGAUAAAAAGCAUAAAUUACUUUAGAGUGUUUAGAAUUUGGAAGACUCUAGCUAGGAUGAUAUGGCAUGGGUCUGUGGCCGACAACCACCAAACCCAACGCUAAAUAAUUAUUAUUGAACCAUCAUCAUCAGUAUAAGCAACAUCAAACCUCUCCAUGUUAAACUGUACAUUUUAUUUCAUCCGGAUCUAAUAUCUAAUUAUAAAUGAUUAUGUAUGAGAUUGCAAUCCUUUGCUUAACUCUUUGAAAAUCUAAUUAUAAAUAUUUGGAAUAUCGAUUUCAUCUCUACCAUUAAAAGCAUAUGAAAAAAAUAUCUUGGUCUUUGAAUAAAAGUAAGUAUAAAUAAUUAGACUAGGGUACCAAAUGAUGAAAUCAAAUAUAAAUGAAUUAUAACCAUCAAAUUUCUAUUUUUCAUUAUUAAAUCAUUGGGCGCUCCAAUUUUUACAUGAUGUAUAACUAUUGACGGAAAUGUUAAUUAGGGAUGGCAACGGGGCUGGUUUUUUCGGGUACCCGCCCCCCCCUCCCCCCCCCCCGCCCCUAAUGGGACGGGGUUGAAAUUUAAUAAACGGGUUUUUAACGGGUAUGAGAUUUUUUUUUAAAACCAGGGGCGGGUUCGGGACGGGUUCGGGACGAGUUCGGGUAUUGCCCCAUUCCGCCCCGCCCCGCCCUGUUUACAUAUAAAAUCAAUUUUAAAAUUAAUUUUAUUUUACUAUUUUUAAUAUAUAGAUAAUAAUAAAAAAAUUAAUAAAAUAAGUUAUAAAAAAUAUAAUAAUUUUAUUAUUUAUAAAUAUAUUUAUUUUAAUGUAAUUAAAAAUUUUAAAAGUAAAUUUUUUUUUUUAUAAAAAAAAGGAGGCUAAACGGGGCGGGACGGGGAUGAGAAUUAUUUUUAAUAAACGGGGCGGGGUUGGGAUGGGGGCAACCCGUCCCGAACCCGCCCUGUUGUCAUUCCUAAUGUUAAUAUAAGGAUAUAAUAAUGGGUAAAAUUAGUUGAAAGUGUUUUUUUUAUGACAUAAAAUAAUUUUUCAAAUUUUAAUUUCUAUUUACUUUGUCUUCCCUUGUCAUGUAUCUUUGUAAUUUUCCGAUUUGUUUAUCAAAACAAUAAAUGAUGUCAUGUUAUGAUUUCUCUUUUUGUCUUCCUUUUUAAUUGACGUGUUUAUUGGAAUAAUAUAUUAUGUUAGACAAAAUAACACAUACCUCCACUGCCCAAAUCCCCUCCGUGACAAUGAACCCCAUCUUUAAGCAUUAUUAUAAAAUUAAGCAUAAAGUUAUUACAAGUUUCUUCCAUUUCACAUGCCUUUCCCAUAGAUUGAGUGGUGGAGAUGAUCAUUCUUGAACGAUUUAUAAUUUUAAUGAAUUCUGUCUAUUCUCAUAUCUUUUAAGAGGGAAUUCAAAUCAACUUAUCUUAUUUUCUCAACGCUACUUAACUUCCACGGCUUCAAAUUUACAUGAUCAUAUCAUUAUCAAUAACUUCGGCAUAACUAUUCAAAUUUUAAUAAGAACUUCAAAUCAUUGUUACCUUUAUUGCCUUAAAAAUCUUUUUCUUUGUCAAUGAUCCCUGCACGAUUAUUAAAUAAUAGGAUUGUUAUUGUCAUAUUAACUAAUUUUGAUAAUAUAGUCAUCGUCACGGCUGAGUGCCGUUUUCUUGGGAGAUUUUUCAUAAAUUUAAAUCAAUACCAGUUAUAGGAAAUGCGUCACAAAUUAGGAAGAUAUCGAGCUGGAAGCAGAUGAUAUAUAAUUCAUUAUUUUCUUCCUUAUUGAAGCUUGACAAACCAAUCCAAAUGCAUUAACGUGAGAAGCAAGGUUUUAUGCUCAUUUUCAAUGAACCUUGUCAACAUGCACGUCAAAAACAAUGAUUUAUUAACUACGUACAUGUAGAACUGCAUGGGAAAAAAAAAAUACAAUUAAGGCAUUGGGAUAUGAAUAAAACGCUUAACUUAAAAUUCAAAAUUCUCAAAACUACGUUUUUCACACCAAAAUGUUUCAUCCAGCCAACCUAAGACCGAGUGAAUCCUCCCUCUAAAGCACAUUGCCCAAGACUACAGGCAACGUAGUAAUUACCUAAGCAAAUACGUCAGAAUCAUACCAAUUUUUACCAAAGUGGGUAUCGGGAAGGAGCUUUGCCUAAUUCAUCCUUCUAUAUAUAAGGACAAGGUUAUCUACUUCUUCUCAUCACUGCCUUCUGUUUGAAUAUUUUGUAGUUAGUUUUAUCAAUCCAGCUAGUGUUAUUAUCAGAAAAACAUGGCUCUAACUGGUAAGUUGGAGACUGAAACAGAGAUCAAAGCACCUGCUGAUAAGUUCUUUAAAAUCUUCAGGAGCCAAGCACACCACCUUCCUAAUAUCUGCUCCGAUAAAAUACACAAAAUCGAGGUACAUGAAGGUGACUGGGAGACUCAGGGCUCCGUCAAGCAUUGGAGUUUGACCGUUGGUAAGGCAUCUCAAACUAAGAACCACAAAACACUAGCGUUAUAUUCUGUUAAUUAAAAUAAGUUAUUAUGUUUUUGUUUCAUUUCAUUGUUGUUUUCUUCACCUUUCAAUUAUUCUAUUAGAAUAAAAGCAUGCCUCUUUGUACAAUUUUUUUCUUGCAAAGAAGUGAUCGAGUCUGGGCCGCUAGUGACUAUGAUGGUUCUUAGGAAUGUACAUGACAUCUAAUAAUAGCUUCAACAUAUUCCAAUUAUGUUUAACCUCACAUUUUGGUUUCAACUAGGAGAGAAUUCUGAGAGUAUUAAAGAGACUGUGGAUCAAAUAGAUGAAGAAAACAGGUCCAUCACAUUCAAGGUUUUGGAUGGGGAGGUGCUGAAAGACUACAAGAGCUACAAGUUCACCACACAAGCGAUACCAAAGGGGGAGGGCUGCUUGGUGAUAUGGACCAUCGAAUAUGAGAAGGCAAGUGAGGGUGGCCCAGAUCCCCAUAACUGCCUAGAGUUUUCAGUUAAUAUCACCAAAGAUAUCGAAAGUCACCUUCUCAAUGCGUAACACCAAGGCCAUAUCCACCCUUUGCUAGUAUCUUGCUCGUAAAUAAAGUUUGGAACUUGGAAGUCCAUCUAUCUCUAUCUUUCAAUAAACGCAAAUUCCAGGUGUGGACUUGGUGAUUAGUGCCGAGAAGAUAAACUAGGUUUGCCUUGGUUAUUUGUGCAAUAAUAUUAGUGCAUGAGUGGGAUUGAUUGUAUGCUAUCUUGUCCGGGAGUUGCUUUGUGUCUUUUGUAAUGGGAUUACUACAUGUAAUGUGAAGACUAUAUGAUGCAUGGGGAAAUAAAUUAAGCGAAAACUUCCAUGGGCUCCAUCAUGAGGAGCCUUUGAGUAAGUCCACAAGCCUACAUUCUUGCAUUCUAGUCACAUGUGUCAAAAUAAGUCUCUACAAAUUAAAGUCUUAUUGUCAAAAUCCCACUUUACACAUAAUCUAAAUAAUUUAGCUAAAAUCUAAUAAGUAUGUCUCUCUUUAUAUGUACUUACCAUCCCAACUUUUAAAUUUAGGGAUAUCUAUGUAAUUUAGAUUUUAAAAAGAAAAUUUUAGGGAUAUUUACAAAGAUAAAUGAAAUAUUUUUGGUUCCGAUAACCAUUAUUUUUAUCUCAUUUUGGUUUCUUUGCGUUAUAAAAAAAAUGGUUUGUAGAGAUAAACUAGAGAAAAAAAAAAAUUAUACAAUGGUUUGUAGAGAAAUUUGAUUCGAAAAGUUAGAAAAGAUGAUUUGUUUUUUGCAUUUGCUUCAUUCUAAAAUUCAAUCACUAUCUUUUAUCUCAUUUUGGUUUCCCCACAUUAUCAAAAAAUGAAGGAUAAAAAUAAACUGGGGAAAAAAUUAUACAAAGGUCUCCGAGAACUUUGAUUUGAAGAGUUAGAAAAGAAGAAUUUUUUUGCAUUUGUUUCAUUUUAAAAUUCAAGGUUUUUGGAUUUCUAUUAUAUAUUAAUUAUGAGGAUAGUAGAAUAAUAAUAAUAAUAAACAAAAACUAGUUAUUAGUGACCUUGAUCAAUAGAGUAUAAGUUGUUGACCUUUAUUAUCUUUGUUAGAAGUAGUUAACGAUGCAAUGUAACCUUAGCCAAUAAAGAUGUUUUGAUAUACAUUGAUUGAAAAAUGUCCUUUUAAAACUAGUUAUUAUUGACCUUGGUCAACACAGAGGAUAAGUUGUUGACCUUUAUUACCCUUGUUAGGAGUAGUGAACGGUGUAGUAUAACCUUAGUCAUUAAGGAUGUUAUUAGCCUUUUGCUAUAUCAUUGAUUGAAAGUUGUCCUAUCCACCAAUAAGGAGAAUGAAGGCUAGCCACCAAGUACUAGUUUUAGUAUUUUGGCACAAUAUUAUUACUAGUGAGUCAAAGUGAAAUAUUUGUUGAUAAAACUUUUUUAAUAUGAAUUGAGUAAGCAAAAUAUAUUAUUUAAUUCUAUCAUUAAAUUGGAAGUGUUUAAAUUUUCAAAAACAAUUAUUUUAAUUAUUGAAUCAAAUGAGCUUACAUGUUAAUAGACUUUUAUAAAGAUGUGGUAUCUUCCGAAAUUUUAUUAUAUAUAAUAAUUGAUCUUCCUUAUACUAACUUUUAUCAUUGAGCCAUCGAGUUCACUUUUCUCUGUUAUUCUCCAUUUCAAUUAUAAAUGAUAUAAAGAGGGAUGAGGUAAGAAAAAUAUUUCUAUUAGAGACAGCUUUGGAAUUGAUUUAUUUUAGGAUUAUUUACUAGACUGAAUUCAUUUAUAAUUUCUAAAUUUCUUUUUGAAGAAUUUGAGAAAAUUAAAUUAAUUAUUGAGAGAUUUUAAUUAGUUUUAAAUUUGUUACUUAAAGUCGUUCACAUGUUGGAUUCUAAUAUUUGAUACGUGAAACUAGCAUGAAGGGCUUGACCUCCGGGUUUGGGGCGUCGCAGCUGACUUUAGAUUACAGAAUUAUUAAUCAACCUACCAAUCUUCAAAGCAAUCUAGGAUGCAAUAUGGUUUUGUGAUUUAAGAUCAAGUGGACGCUUCAUUUAUUAUGUCUUCAAAAAAACAUUUUGGGCCUCAAUUCGAGAUUAUCAGAUAUGGAUUCUAACAGUUGCUUCCAAUCAAAUCAGUGUCACAGAAAUCGCUACCAUUGUGGUACCUGAAAAAAAAAAAAAGAGACUCCUUCCCUUAAUAUUGAAAUUUAUCUGAAGCUAUGCAGUAAAUAAAUGCCCCAUUUUGUGCGUCAUAAUGGGGGAUCACAUUCAGAAUCUUCUGCACAUGCAAAUUAAAAUCAAAAUCAAGCCAUUGGCCUAUCACAUUACCAUUUUUGGCCCUUUUGUUUUGUUGUUUUUUUCUUUUUUUGGCGUGUAUAUAAAAAGCAACCACAUUAUCCAACUUUUAUUGAAAACACCAUAUUAUCAGAUACAAAAACGCCACAUCAUUAUUAUUGAAAAUUAAAUUCCCAUAUAUAGAAAGCCACAUAAAAUUCAGUGCCAAUCACAAACAUUCGUUGAUAUUCACUAGGAUAGAGAUAGAGUGCCCAUAUAUGGACAGUGCACCAUACCCGCCGUGAAGUGAUUGGAAGAGUGUGGACUAUGUCAAGCUCCGGACUUAUUUGUAUAGGUAAGGCAACGCUAACCAUUAUUAUUCCCAUGCCACCCUCAAUCAAGCACAGUCAUACACUCGGCACAUGGCACUUCUUGUUUUUAAUUAUUAUCAUAGUGAACAAUGUUUUCAUAAUCGGAUCGAUCAUCGAACCGAAAAAGUUAUCGAUUUACAGUCCAUUAGUCGAACCGACGGUCGAACCAAUAACAUCAUAAAUAUGUAAUUUAUAUAUUAUUAAAAUUAAAAAUAAUUAUACAAAUUUUAAAAUAUAUAUGAAUAAAUUAAAAAUCAAUAAUAUUAUUUUGUAUCUUUAAUAUUAUCAAAUUAAAUCAUAUUAAUAUUUUAAAUUUUAUUGAAUGAAAUAUAUAUAAUAUUUAAAUAUGAAUAUAUUAAAAAUGAAAAUUUAAUUAAACUAAUUUUAUAAUUUUUAAAAAUAUUAUAUUAUUUUUAUUUAAUAUUAUAAAAAAAUUUAAAAUCCAAUAUAUAUUAUUUUGUUUGGCAUAUUAAAUAAUAAAAGAUGUAUAGCCGAGUGGUCCUAGGUUGGUUAUAGACCUUGAGGUCCAAGUUCAAAUCCUUUGGUGGAUUUGUUAAUUUUUUUUUUCAUUGAUUAGGUUAGUUAGCAAUCCCACACUAAGAGGAAUAAGGAUGCUUAUAAAAGCUAGCCUCAUUAUGGGCAAAGGCAUCACCUCAUCUGGUGGGCUUAAGACUCAGCCCAUAAAAUGGUUGGGUGCGGUGUGGGCUUUGUCACAUUAAGACAGGGCCCAUCAUGGGCUUUUGCUAAAUUUUUUUAUACAAGGGAGCCUUCCAUGCUUGCAAAAUGGUGGGAUAACUUGAACCGAUCGAUUCGCUCAAAACCGUCUGAUUUCGUUGGGUUAUCGAUUCAAUCAUCGAUUUAGGUGAUUUGUGACCGGUCCAAUGCUUAGACGGUUUAAUAAAGUAAAUCUAAUAAAAAAUGUGAUGGAUCGACGAUUGAACCAGUUGGAUCAGUCGGUCCCACCCGAUUUUUAAAACAUUAGAUAAUAACAAAUUAAAAGAAGGGUGUCUCCUCAUAUGAGUUUUUUUGAAGUUCUCUACUCUUGGAGUGACUGAAAGGAUAACUGCAGCCUGGUGAGAUGGACUUUGGAAUAUGAGAAGUCAAAUCAGAGGCUCCUUCCUCCAGAUGCUUACCUCAGCCUUGUAAGCAUGAGUAAAGAUAUGGAUGGUUUACCUUCUCAAGGCAUAAACCGCAUAACAGCAAGGCCUAUAUCCUUGACUUGGUCUGAAAGCAUCCUAGCUUGGGUCCUUCUGGGAAUGGGAUUGCCACACGUAUGACCUCUGUAUCAUCAGUUUUGGGGCAAAAUAGCCAUUUUAUGUAUAAAAAAAAAUAAGCUUUAGCCCUUUACAAAACUUAUGUUUAAACUAGCUCACAUAGAGUCAUGUCAUCAUUUUUCUUUUAAACUCAAUUAGACUUUAUUUUUUAACUGAAACUUCAAUUACCAAUUGAGAAUUCAUUUUUUAACUAAAACUUCAAUUUACAAUUGAGGUUUUAGUUAACUUUGUUUUAAAUUUAAAUAAAAAAUUAAAUUAUAAAUUAUUAUUGAAAUUUAAAAAAUAUAUUUUAAUAAUAAUAAUUUAUAUAUUUAAACUUAAAUAUCUAAUAUUACUUCAAUAAAGAUAAAUUGACAAAUAUAAUAAUAAAUAAAUAUUUUAUUUAUCAAUAAAUUAAUAAUUUUAAAAUAAUAAAGUUAUAUGAAAUCUAAAUAAGAUAUAAAAUUAUAUAAUUUGUUAAUUUAAGAUAUUUAAUUUUUUGUAUUUUUAAGAUAUUAAUUUAUUUGUAUUUUGACAAAUUUAUCUUUAUUAAAAUAAUAAUAUAUUCUUAAGUUUCAUAUAUAGAUUUUUUUAUUAUUUUAAAGCAUAUAUUUAUAGUUUACGUAAAAAAAUACUAUUAUUUGUACAUACAAUAUAUAUGCCUUGAAGAUACAUUUUGAAAUUAGUUAAUAAAAUUAAUUAGAAAAAAGUCUACUAUAAAAUUUAAUUUUUAAUAGUUUCAUCAAAGUCACAAAAAAUACUCAUUAAAUAUUUAUAUUAUGGAAAAAAAAUGCCCCUCCCUAAUAUUACAUGUGAUAUAACUUAAAUUAAUAAAUUGUAUAAUUUUAUAUUUUAUUUAUAUGUCAUAUAAUUUUAUUAUUUUAAGAUUAUUAAUUAAUUGAUAAAUAAAAUAUUUAUUUAUUAUAUUUAUCAAAUUAUCUUUAUUGAAGCAAUAUUAGAUCUUUAAGUUUAAAUAUAAAAUUUUUUAUUAUUAAAGUAUAAUUUUUUAAUUUCAAUAAUAAUUUAAAAUUUAAUAUUUUUAAUUAAAUUUUAAAGUAAAAAAAUAAAAUAACUGAAGUUUCAAUUGACAUAUCUUAUUUAGAUUUCAUAUAAUAUUAUUAUUUUAAGAUUAUUAAUUUAUUUAUAAAUAAAAUAUUUGUUUGUUAUUAUAUUUAUUAAUUUAUUUUUAUUGAAGUAAUAUUAGAUCUUUAAGUUUAAAUAUAUAAAUUAUUAUUAUUAAAAUAUAUAUUUUUUAUUUCAAUAAUAAUUUAUAAUUUAUUUUUUAAUUAAAUUUUAAAAUAAAAUAAAAAUUUUAACUAAAACCUCAAUUGUCAAUUGAGGCUUUAGUUAAAAAAUAAGUUUCGAUUGACAAAUGAUACUUCAAUUAAAAAAUGAAGUCUUAGUUGGUAAUUGAGACUUCAACUUAAAUUUUAAAAAAAAAAAAUUAUGACAUAACUCCUAUAUGUGAUAAUAAAGGAACUAGUUUAAACAUAAGUUUUAUAAAAGGGUUAAAACUUAUAUUUUUUUCUACAUAAAAAACUAUUUUGCCCUAAAACUCCCGUAUCGUCGACUAGCUACUGCUUUACUCCAUGUAACAUCUUGUCUACUUAAUUAUAUGAACUUCCUGAAUUAAUGCUGGAAUGACAAACCAAGUUUUAUUGAAAAUGGAAACCUUCUUAGAAUCAAACAUUUGCUCGAACAAAUUUCGCAAUAAAAAGAGGAGAGUUGUGAAAAGAAGCAUUUUUCCUGCAGCCAAUUACCUUUUCAUACAUUACUUUAAAACAAAUUAACAAAUAGUGAUCUCAUAUUUUACCUUUUCUGUUGCAGAUUACUUUUAAAAAUAUUCUCUCCACAGGCACUCCUACGGAAUCUUUCUCCAAAUCAAACUGUACAUUUUACUCAAAUUUUAAUAUCUAAUUAUAAAUAAUUAUGGGUGAGAUUGCAAUCCUUUGCUUAGCUCUUUGAAAAUCUAUGAUGAUACUCGGUAUUAAUAUUUUAUUUUAUUAAAGAUAAAAAUAUCAAAAUAAUUUUAGAACUUUUUAGUGGGGAUAAUACUUCCCCAUUAGGCUGCUUACAAGGCAUAAAUUAAUAUUUUUUUAAUUUUAAUAAAAGCAAUUUGGUACAGUUGACUUGAUUGAUAACUAUUUAAGAUAGGAUUUAGACUAAUUUAGAUUAAUUAGAUUGCAUUUACAGUUCCGUUACCUCGAAACAAAGUUGGUGCAACAUUAACCAUGAUUAUGGUGAUAUAUUUUAGUUUUAUAUUUUUUAAGGGGAUAAUUUUUUUUUUUAAUGGUUUGAUGUUAGCUUAUAAGAAAAACCUAAACCAUAAAAGCCGAAUCUUUCCAAUAUUGAUCCAAUUUCUAUCAUUAAAAAUAUAUGAAUAAAACUUUUGAUCCUUAAAUAAAAGUAUACAAACUAUCGUACAAAAUAAUGGAAUCAAAUAUACAAAAUAAGAUUAAGGAAAUGUUUGAUAAAACUUAAUAUUUAUUAUUUAAUAAUUUAAAUUAACUCUAAGUUAAAUUAUAUUUAAGUUGUUGACUUAAAACUUAUUAUUUAAUUUUUAUUUUAAGUAUUAAGGUUAUUUAAAAAAAUUAACUUACAAUUUAUAUUAAAUCAUCAAAUUAAAAUAUUUAUCUUAAUAAAUUAUAACUAAGACAAAUAAGGUUAAAUAACAAUGGAGGUUGUGAAGUCAUAAAAGAGAUCAUAAAUGUAAUUGAGAGAAAAAAAGACAAAAAUAUAAAAUGAAGAUACUGACUUAAAAAUAAAUAAAUUUUUUUAUUUAUUAAGUCUUUUAUUUUAAGUCAUACAAUAAAAUUAUUUUAUCAAACAUAUUUAAUUUAUUUAAUAAUAUAAUUAAAAUAUUAAGUCACUUAAAGUUAUUAAAUUGGUUUACCAAACACGUACUAACGUACAAAUAAAUAAGACUAAAAUAGAAAACAAUGAAACUUAAACACAUAUAUGACAUGGUCUAUUUAAUUGUAUUUUUUUAUAAAUGCCUCUUUAAUACUUCCCAAAUCAUAACAUUAAAUUUCUUAAAUUGAUAUAAAACAUUUUUUUUUUUCUANNNNNNNNNNNNNNNNNNNNNNNNNNNNNNNNNNNNNNNNNNNNNNNNNNNNNNNNNNNNNNNNNNNNNNNNNNNNNNNNNNNNNNNNNNNNNNNNNNNNACAUAUAUGACAUGGUCUAUUUAAUUGUAUUUUUUAUAAAUGCUCUUUAAUACUUCCAAAUCAUAACAUUAAAUUUCUUAAAAUUGAAUUAUAAACAUUUUUUUUUUCUAUGAUUGAAUCAUUUAGCACUCCAAGUUUUACUAUUGGACGAAAUGUUAAGGAUCUAAUAAAUGGGUAACAUUAAUUUGCUGAAAUAGUUUUUCUUAUUACUUAUAAUGGUUUUAAGAAUGUUGAAAAAAAAAUUCAUGGGAAAACAUUUAUCAAACUCAAAUUUUGAUUCCUAUUUACUUUAUCUUUCCUUGUCAUGUCUCUUUCUAAUUUUCCUUUUUUAGCGGUUUGUUUAUUAGAACAGUAUAUCAUGCCUGUGAUUCUCUUUCUAUCACUUCUUUUCAAUUGAUUUGUUUAAUGCAAUAAUAUUUGUUUAAUGCAAUAAUAUAUCAUGUUAGACAAAAUAACACCUACCUACUACCCAAAUCCCCAAUGUGACAAUGAACUCUAUCUUUAAGCAUUAUUAUAAAAUUAAACGUAAAGGAUAUUAUAAGUUUCUUCCAUUCCACGUGCCUUUCCCAUAUAUUGAAAGGUGGAGGUUAUCAUUUUUAAAAGAUCAAUAAUUGUAAUGAAUUUUCCAUUCCACGUGCCUUUCCCAUAGAUUGAAAGGUGGAGGUGAUCAUUUUUAAAAGAUCAAUAAUUUUAAUGAAUUUCAUAUAUUUGCAUAUUUUUUAAGAGGGAAUUCAAAUUAACUCAUCUUAUUUCUCAAUGUUACGUAACUCCUGCCUCAAAUUAAAAUCAUCAUAUCAUUAUGAACAACUUUGAUACAACUAUUCAAUUUUUAAUAUGAAUUCUUUCAUUCUCAAAUCAUUGUUCAAGUUAGCUUUAUUAACUUAAAAAAACUCAUUCUUUGUCACUACUCCCUCUAUGAUUAUUAAAUGAUAAAAUUGUCAUUGUCUUAAAAACUAAUUUUGAUAAUAUAUUCAUCAACAUAUUUACAAAUUUAAAUUAAUACAAGUUGUAAGAAAUGUAUCAUAAAGAAGAUACAAAACUAGAAGUAGAUGAUAAUUAAUUAUUUUUUUUCUUUAUUGAACUUUGACACCCCAUCCAAAUGCAUUAACGAGAAAAAUAGUGUUUUAUGCUUGUUUUCAAUUAAUCUUGUCAAUAUGUACAUGAAAAACAAUGAUUUAUGCUUAUAAAUCUUAUCAAUUCGCUUAUUUGUAUAUGUAAAAUGAAAUUAUUGAAACUACACGUAGAAUUGCAUGAGGAAAAAAAUACAACUACUGCAUUUAUAAAUGAAUAAAAGCUUGGCUUAAAAUUCAAAAUUCUCAAAACUAUGUUUUCCACACCAAAAUAUUUCAUCCAGCCAACCAAACACCGAUUGAAUCCUCCCUCUAAAGCAUAUUGCCCAAGAUUACAGGCAACGUAGUAAUUACCUAGGCAAGUACGUCAGAAUUAUAGCUUCUUUUUUUUUUUUGUUUUUUUUCAGUUCAUUGACUCGGCUCCACCCAACCACUAUCAGUAUCAGUUACUACCAGAGAGGGUACUGGGUACUGGUUACUGGGCAGGAGCUUUUCCAAAUUCACAACCCGUCUUCUUUAUAUAAGGGCAAGUUUAUGUAUUUCCUCUCGCCAUUGCCUUUUGUUCGAAUCAUUUGAAGUUGAUUUUAUUAAUCCAUCAGAAAAACAUGGCUCUAACUGGUAAAUUGGAGAUUGAAACAGAGAUCAAAGCACCUGCUGAUAAGUUCUUUAAAAUCUUCAGGAGCCAAGCACACCACCUUCCUAAUAUCUGCUCCGAUAAAAUACACAAAAUCGAGGUACAUGAAGGUGACUGGGAGACUCAGGGCUCUGUCAAGCAUUGGAGUUACACCAUUGGUAGGAUAUGCAACUCGAACUCAGAACCCCAAAACACUAGCUAGCAUUAUAUUCCGUUAAAAUGUUUUUUGAUUUUUUUUCCCCAUUUCAUUGUUGUUUUCUUCACAUUUUUUUAUUCUUUUAGAAUAAAUGCAUGGCUCUUUGUACAAUUUUUCUUUUUUUCUUGCAAAGAAGUGGUCAAGUCUGGGCCGCCAGUGACUAUGAUCGAUGGUUCUUAGUAAUGUAUAUGGCAUCUAAUAUUAGCUUCAACAUAUUCCAAUUACUAGGAGGGAAUUCUAAGAGCAUUAAGGAGAGUGUGGAAUCAAUAGAUGAAGAGAACAGGUCCAUUACGUUCAAGGUUUCGGAUGGAGAGGUGCUGAACGACUACAAGAGCUACAAGUUCACCACACAAGCAAUACCAAAGGGAGAGGGCUGCUUGGUGAAAUGGACCAUUGAAUAUGAGAAGGCAAGUGAGGAUGGGCCAGAUCCCCAUGACUACCUGGAGUUUGCAGUUACUGUCACCAAAGAUAUCGAAAGUCACCUUCUCAAUGCAUAACACCAAGUCCAUACAUACCGUCUGCUAGUAUCUCUAUUAAAUAAAGUUUGGAACUUGGAAGGGCAUCUACGAUCUCUAUCCUUCAAUAUAUGCGAAGGCUUAGGGGAACUUUUAGCAGCUGUGGCUUGGUGAUUAAUGCUGAGAAGAUAAACUAGGUUUCCCUUAAUUAUUUGUGUAAUAAUGUUAGUGCAUGCGUGUAAUCGGUUGUAUGCUUGUCUGGACUCUAGGGGUUGCUUUGUGAUUGUUAAUUGGUGUCUUUUGUAAUGGGAUUACUACAUGUUAUGUGAAGACUAUAUGAUGUAUAAGGAAAUAAAGUGAAAAUUACCAGGGGCUAACUCCAUCAUGAGGAGCCUCUGAGUAUGUCCACAAGUCUACAUUCUUGCAUUCUAGUCACAUGUGUCAAAAUCAGACCCUAACAAAUUACAGUCUUGAUCAUUGAAGGGGUAAAAUCCCACUUUACAUAUAAUCUAAAUAAUUUAGCUAAAAUCUAAUAAGAAUAUCUCUCUCUACAGGUAUGUAACCUUCCAACCUUGAAUUUAAGGAUAUUUAUAUAAUUUAAAAUUAUAAAAAGAAAAUUUUGGAUAUAGGACAAAUUAAUUUUUUUUUUAAAAAAUAACGAAAGUGAAUGAAAUAUUUUUGGUUCCUAUGACCACCCACUUUUUUUACUUUUUAUUUUUAUCUCAUUUUAGUUUCUCCACGUUAUAAAAAAAUGAAAAGAUAAAAUAGAGAGGAAAAAAGACAACUUGGAUUUGUAGAAGUUUCUUUCUUUCAUGGUGUUUUUCUGUUCUGUUUUUGCCUUUGUUUCAUUCUAAAAGUCACUCACUAUCUUUAUCUCAUUUGGGUUUCCCCGCGUUAUCAAAAAAUGAAAAUAUAAAACAAAGAGGAAAAAAAAACCUAUACAAAGGUCUUUGGAAUUUUGAUUCAAAGACUUAAGAAAAGAAUAAUAAAUUUUUGCAUUUGUUCCGUUCUAAAAUUCAAGGUAAGUUUUUCACAUAUAAUUUUUUUUUAGGAAUUCUAUUAUCUAUUAAUUAUGAGAAUAGUAAAUAUAUAUAAUAAUAAUAAUAAUAAUAAUCAUCAUCAUCAUCAUCAUCAUCGUCAUCAUCAUUAUCAUUUUAAAACUAGUUAUUAGUGAUCCUAAUCAAUCGAGAACAAGUUGAUUUUCAUUACCCUUGGUAAUGGUAGUGAUAAAAUAUAUUUUUAGUUAAUAAGGGUGUAAUUAGCUUUGGGGUUUCAUUGAUUAGAAAUUAUUUCAUCUACUAGUAAAAAAAACAAAGUAAAACUAACCAUCAAGUGCAAAUCAUGAAUUUUUUUAAAUAUGAAUUGAGUAUACAAAGUAUAUUAUUUAAUUAUAUAUUUAAAUUGAAAGAGAUUAAUUUUUCAAAAAUAGUGAAUUUAAUCAUUGAAUCAAAUCAACUUACCUGUUAUAAAGAUGUGAUAUGUUCCAAAAUUUAGUUGUAUACAAUACGUGACCCUUCUUAUUAAACUAUCCUUUAUCAUUGAGCUAUCUAACUUACCUUUCUCAAUUAUUAUCCUUUAAGGUACAUCAAAUAUUGGUAUAAAUGAGAAGAGAUCGAGAUAUGAAAAGUAUUUCAAAUAGAAACAUCUUUAGAAUAGAUUUAUUUUUUAGGAUUGUUUACUUAGAUCAAGUUUAUUUUAAUUUCUAAAAUGUUUUUUUAAGUGUUUGAGAGAAUUAAAGUUAUUAUUUAGAUAUUUUAAUUAGUUUUGGAUUUGUUUGUUAAGGUCAUUCAUACAAAGAUGAUAUCCAUUUCUGUGUUAUAUUUUAUUUUAUUUAUUUAUUUCUUAUUUCAUGUAUUAAGUUUGAUAAAACUGAAGGUGAAAUCAACAUUGAAUUGCUAAAAAUGUCAAUUACUAUUGUUAAUUUAUCACAAUUAUGAUUUUUUAAUUGUAGCACAUAGUAAAAUUAUUAUUAUUAUUAUUAUUAAUAUUUAUACUCUGGUCGAACUUAUCCAUGGCCAAUCCAUCAUGUAGGCCAAUUUUGUCAAACUUAUCCAUGGCCCAUCCAUCAUGUAGGCCAAAUUUUUAUUAGCAUUUUUGGGUCAUAACUCUAGAUGCUGACAUUAAAGCAUUUCUGGCAUAAUAAUUAUUGGAAAAGGAUGUCUCCUCUUUCAUGGAUCACAACCAAUACAGCAAAGAUGAUGAUAGAUAGCAUCCUUAUCACCUCAUGUGUCUUGACCUCUUCUUCAAGCUUGAGUGUCUUGUCCUAUAUUUAACGCAUGUACCAUUGCCUCCAAGAUAUGGUGACAGGAAUUAUAUAGCUACUGACUAGCUAGUCUUCACUCCAAAAAUAUGAUGGCCACUUUUUUGAAAUAUAACUCUUUAUCCUAUUGACUUAAACUCACCACCUCUUUCAGAUCCUCCACAAGGAUCAACUUAUUAAGAGUUUGGUCGAAGUUUGAUCCACUUUUCUAAAUGAGCAAUGUUAAAUUAUUUUAUUCAAACAAAUUUGAUGAUCAAAUAUCUCUUAUUUUCUCAAAUUUAAAUAACAUUCCUUUAUAAAAAUAAUUAUAAAAUUUAUUAUAAUCACUCAUUUUCAAUGGCUCAUUAGUAGAUGUUCAUUGUAUUAAAAUACAUUUAUAUGAUUAAGAAAAACUUAUACAUUUCUAUUUUUUUUUUCUAUGCAUAAUUUAUAAUAUCUCAUAUAGGAUUUAUUGGGUUUAGAAACAUGUAAUAUUUAUAUAAUAGUGAGUGAAUUAUUAUAAAUGGUAUGAAAAUUGAUUUUCAACCCUUUAUGAGAAUUUAUUUAAUACUACAAUAUAUGACUCUAUGUUUGAUUAUGUAAUCCUAUAAGACACGAUGUCCAUUAAGUUCAUUAUAUUAUUUUUAAUUAUGUAAAAAUAUUUUAAAAUUAAAAAAAUUCAUUAAACUUAGUGCAGACGCUAUCUAUAUAAAAGGAAAUAAAUGGUUAUACUUCAUCAUAUUCGUUUCUCAUAUUUGAUAUAUAUCAAUUUCAGCGACUAUUAUUCAACAUUGCCCGAAGCAAUAGGUGCCUCACUUUUACAAAGAAAACUUCCUCUAUUGAUAUUUCUCAAAUAUAAAUUCAUGUCAUGGACUCAUGGUUAACAACCGAUAGAUCCUAAAACAAUUAGAUAUCUCAGAUAUUGAUUGACCAAAUGGACAACCGAUGCUAUAGUAAGAGCUGUUGCUGUUAUCUUUUAAUUUAAAUAUACACAAACGACAAAAUGCUUAACUAAUCCACCACCCAGGCGCCGGGCCACAGAAAUGAAAUACCGCCUACCCCAACAUUUUGGAAUUAAAAAUCUACACCACCCAGAUCUUGCUGUGAUUUGGUAAAUCCCGAGAAAUUGACAACCUUCCUACGCUGGGGAGGCGUGGUUCCAUUCAAUGCCAACAUUUUCGGAUGGGUCCAGAGAGUUGUACAGUGACUUUUAAAUAAAGAAUUGUUUUAAACCUUGACUUUGGGCUCUUUAUCAGGAAUAUGAAAAUAUUGGGCAAUGACUAGAUUCGAGAGCAGGUUGCAUGCAUAGAUAUCGCAUUAAUUUUUAGCAAUCGUUAUGACGAAAGAAAAUCUGCAGAACCAAGCGAAUUUUCCUAGUCAUCAUGAGAGACAUUAGACAAGGUUUUCAAUUCAUAAAAUUGCCUUAUCAUCUGGAAUUAAAUAUUUUCAAGCUAAGGAUGAGGUUCAAUCCGUACGGGGCAAUGAAAAUAUAUGGAUGCCCUAUAGAGUGGUUGAACAUUCUACAGUUUCGUCCCUAUUUAUAGAAGAAGAUGAAAUUUUAAGCAAUUUGCUUCAAUGCAAUUUUAGCAUAUUUCAGCUAGUCAUAGCAACGUCUAAUUUCGUUGAUGUAGAAGAAGCUAACACCAAAGAUUCAUCUAGGUAGAAAGAAGUAUCGAGCAUGUAACUAACCGCAGAACUCACAUCUAGGGACCCUAUUGUAAAUAUAACAGGUGAUGGACAUAAAGAUAGAUAUGAGUAAAAGAGUGGAACAUAAAAUCCAAAUUUCAAAAGUAUGAUAGUUUUUUAGUGUUUCUUUGAAUCUCGUAGGAAUUUAGGUCAUUUUCAAUCUCAUCCAUGAGACAAGGUACAAUAAUUGUUGAAGAAUAAGAGUAUUGUUGGGCAGUUCGGCGAGCUAUAUAUAAAGAGAGAGACUUCUUAACCAUAUAAAUAUUAUCCUCUAUAACUCUAAAUUUUUUUUUCCUUUAUCCAAUAUAAAAUAUCACAAUCACUUUUAUGUAUGCACUCUUUUUAAUCACGUCGCAUAAAAUUACACCAUUUUCAAAGCUAAAUAAACUCCUAUAUAGGGGUCAUAUAUUGACUUCAAUACUCUUUGAAACGACUCACACUUAAUCAUAUAAACUCAUUAUAAUAAUGUAUUUCCUAAUUUCAUGGAAUUUCAAUAAAAUAUUUAUUACUUUCAAAUGGGAAUUAGAGAGGAAUGUUGUCUAGCUAACUCAUAAUUCUUCUUUAUAAGUUCAAAUUAGGUAUUUACUUCUUCCUACCAUUACCUCAUAUUUUGAUUGUUUCUUCGUUAAUAUAUAGUUGGUUAAACUAAUAAACUAGAGGUUAGGAUGGAGAUCAAUUUAGAUUAUGUUUGUUUUGAGUUUAAUAAACCCUUACGACUUUAAAAUGUGUUUAGAUAGUUAAGAGAAACUUAUACAUAUAUAAUAUUAAAAAAAUUUCCUCAUUUAAUGUGAGAUAUUAUAAUCAUCACUCAUGUAGACAUAAUAUAUUUGUUGUAAGUCAGAAGAUUGUAAAACCAAACAAAUUUUUUCAUUGAAAUAUAAUAUUAUUUGUAAUGGUUCACUUUCUCUCAUGGAUCCCAACUCCAUUAGGUUCUUCAUGAAGCUUGUUUCAGUUUAUUAACCACCGAUGUAGCAAAGAUGAUGAUAAGUAGUAUUUUUGUUUCUCAUAUGUUUUCAGACCUCAUCAAGCUUGAGUGCCUUAUCCCAUCUCUAACGCAUGUACCAUUGCCUCCAAAAUAUGUUGCCAGAUUAUACAUAAUAUCAUAAUUAUAGCUACUGAAGUCCAACGACUACCUAGCUAGUCUUCACUCCCAAAAACAUGAUGGUCACUUCUUUGAAAUAUAACUCUUAUCCUAGUGACUCAAACUCACCACCUCAUUGACAUCCGUCAUAAGAAUUUCAGAGACUCUUCAAAGUUUGAUCCACUUUUAUAGAUGAAUAAUGUAAAAUUCUUUUAUUCAAACAAAUUUGAUGAUCAAAUAUCUUUUCUUUCCUAAAAAUUAUAUUUCCUUUUUAUAAAUCUUAUUUUAAUGACCCAAUUACAGUAUGGUAGAUAUUGUUUGUUUCGAGUCCAAUAAACCCUUAUAACUUUAAAAUAUGAUUAAAUAGUUAAGAGAAACUUAUAAAUAUAUAAAUGUGAGGUCAAAUAAAUUUUCAUAUUGAGAUAAAAGAUUAACUUUAAUACUAUUUGUAAUGGUUUACUUUCUUUCAUGUAAACAUCAUCCACUUUAUACUCAAUGAAUCAUUGAAGCUUUAAAACAUAUUUACAUGAUUAAAAGAAACUCGUACAUAUAGUAUUAGAAUUUUUUUUUUCUGACCCAUGAUUUGCAAUAUAUGUAUAAAUACGUUUUAAAGUUAUGAGGAUUUAUUAAGUUCAGAGUAAAUAGUAUUUAUAUUAAAUGGAAUGACAUGUCACAUGCAAAUAAUAUCAAACUCAAUCUCCAAUUUUUAUAUAAGAGUUUGUUUGAUUUUAUAAAAAAUGUUUGUGUGUUUCAUUCUACAAUUCUGUGAGACACAACAUCCAUUUAAUUUAUUAAAGUCUUUUUAACUAUGUAAACAUGUUUUAAGUUGUUAAGAUUGAUUGGGUAAAAACAGAAGAGGUGAUUGUGUGUUUUAUCCUACAAUUCAAUGAGGCAAUGCCUAAUUGAUUCAUUGGGGUACUUUUAAUCGUUAAUGCAUGUUUCAAUGUUGCUAAGAUUGAUUGAGUGAGGAAAAUAUCUACAUAUGAAAGGCAACAGUUAGUUACACUUCAUUAUGUUUUUUUCUAAUAUAUUGAUAUAUGUCAAUUUCAGUAGUUAUUAAUUCAACAUCGCCCAAAGUAACCAAUGCCUCGCUUUUCCAAACAAAACUUUCUCUAUUGAUAUUUCUUAAAUAUAAAAUCAUGUCAUGGUAAGCAUCCGAUGGAUACUAAGACAAUUGGAUAGAUAUCUCAGAUAUUGAAUGGACCAAAUGGGGUAACGGAUGUGGUAGUAUACAAGCGCUGUAUAUCUUUUAAUUUAGAUAUACACACACAACGUAAUGCCUAAUCCAUCCAGCCGGGGGGCCGGCCAGAGAGAUAUAAAAUACCCCCAAUCCCAUCAUUUUGUAUUUUGUAUUGGAAUUAAAAAUCCAAACCCAGAUAUUGCUAUGAUUUGGUAAAUCCCGAGAAAUUGAGAACCCAUCCUGGGGGAGGCAUGGUCCCCCUAUUCAAUGCCAACCCUAUUUUCAAAUGGUGUCUAAAGAGUUGUACAGUUAACGGUGACUUUAAAAUAAAGAAUUGCCUUAAACCUUGAUUUUAGGCCCUUCUUCAAGAAUAUGAAAAUGCAUGUUGGGCAAUGAUUUAGAUUCGAAAGUGGGUUCUGCAGACAUCACAUUUCUGCAGAGCCGAAAAUAUUUACAAGCGUAGGACGAAGCUCAGUUCAGAUGGGCCUCGAAGAUGAAUUUUUAAGCAAUUUGCUUGAUACAUUCAGCAAUUGAUAAUUUAAAAUAAAAAAAAUUAGGAAAUAGAAAGUAAAACAUAUAUGGUUAAAACUUCAAUGCAAUUUUAGCAUAUUUGAACUAGUCAUAGGAGCGUUUAAUUUCUUUGAUGAAGAAGCUGAACACCAAAGAUUCAUCCAGGUAGAAAAAUGUAUUGACCAUCUAAUUGUCUGCAGAACCUACAUCUAAGUACCCCGCUAUAAAUAUAAGAGGCAACUUAGGUGAGGGACAUAUAGACACAUACGAAUGCCAUUGUAGAAUAUAAAAUCCAAAUUUCUCAAAACUAUAAGGUUAUGUUUGAAUCCAAAAAAAUAUUAGAGGAAGUGAAAAUGUUAAGAAAAAUAAUUUUUUAUGAUUAAUUUUAUUAUAAAAAAUAUAAAAAAUAAAUAUAAUUAAAAUUAGUUAGAAUUUUACAUAUUUUUAAAUUAUAUAAUUUGAAUUUAAAUAAAUAUAUAAAAAUAAGUCAUUAAUUUUAGAUCUAUUUCUUUUUUCUUUUUUUAUAUUCUCCCACAAAAUUUCAGUAACCGAACACAACCUAAUAGUUUCCACUGUUUCUUUGAAUUUCUCAACUUCAAAAUCUCUUGUCUAUGAGACCUCAGAGUAAUUAAUUCCUACCUCUUGGUGACUAGGCCAAGCGCAUGGAUAGGCACAUUGACCCACUUGUAAUUGCCUAGGCUAAUAGGCCAAGCUCAUAGCAAUUUUCCUUUUUUAUUUUUUAAUUUCGUCGUAGGACUUGGUCUCCACAAGGCACUAUAACGUAUCCCCUAAUUUCAUUUCAUGGAACUUUAAUAAAAUAUCUAUUGCUUUCAAGUGGGAACUGGAGAGCAACGUUGCCUAGCUAACUCACAAUCCUUCUAUAUAAGUUCAAGCUAGGUAUCUUCUUCCUUCCACCACUGCCCACUGCCUUGUAUUAGGAUAUCGUUUCUUAGUUAAUAUAUAGUUGAUUAAUUUCCAUCUCCAACUACUACUAUUAUUAGAAAAAUAUGGCUCUAACUGGCAAGCUAGAGGUUGAAAUGGAGAUCAAUUCACCUGCGGAUAAAUUCUAUAACAUCUUCAGGAGGCAAGCACACCACAUUCCUAAUAUCUGCUCAGAUAAAGUACACCAAAUUGAUGUACAUGAAGGUGACUGGGAGACUCCAGGCUCCGUCAAGAACUGGGGUUAUACUCUUGGUAAGGCAACCACAACUCAAACCCCAAAACCCUAGCACUAUUAGUCUGUAAAAAAAAAUGAUUUUUUUAGUUUUUCUAUUUCAUUUAAUUGUUUUUUUGUUUGGCAUUUUCCCCUUUAGAAUAUUAAUUUAACUGCAUUAAUUCGGAGUUGAUCCCAUCAUGUGGAAGUUUAUGCUUCUGUUAUGAAUACAGCUUUGUAUGCCUUCCUUAUGUUUAAUUCAACCUAAAGCAUGUAGAAUUGAUGGUCAAAGUCUAUGGGACCCUUUUUUCAUGACCGCCAUGCAUGGGGCUUUCCCAGGUGACUGCCCGCUACUAAAGGGGCCUAAAGUUUAGGUCCCCCGAGUUAGAACUUAGAAGAGGGAUUAUGAAUGAUCAGUGAAGUUGUAAGGUUUUGAUCUUCUUAGAUAUUACCUAGAAAGAGGAUUGACUUUACUUGACUUUUACCAUAUUGAUUUAGAGAUUGGCGAUUGCUUUAAAAGGUUGUGUCAACAGAAGAAAACUUAAAAAAUAUUAAGAAAAAUAAAAAAAAUGAUUUUGUUUUUAUAAAAAAAAUCAAAUAUAAUAAAAACGAGUUGAAAUUUUAUUUAUUUUUAAAUUAACUUUUAUAUAGAAGAAUUAAAAUACGUUAAGUAAAUUUGAAUCAAAAUAUAAAAAUAAUUAAUUUCUUAAUUUUAAAUUUAUUAUUUUUCUUUUAACUUCUUUUUUGUUUUUUCAUUUUCUUUUCUUUUGUAUUUUCUUCAAAUUUUUUUAGAACCAAAUAUAGUCAUUAUGAAAAGAUGGGCCACGAAGUGACUACGCAUGUCAAUUUGCUUGAGAUUUCGCAAUCUAGUAGUUUCAAAAUACUAUGCUUAACCCCUUGUUUUGGUUUGAAAUUACUAGGAGGGACUUCUAUGAGCCUUAAAGAGACUGUGGAAUCAGUAGAUGAUGAAAACAAGUCAAUCACUUUCAAGGUUGUGGAUGGAGAGAUCAUGAACCAUUUCAAGUGCUUCAAGUCCAACUUGCAAGUAAAAGCAAAGGAUGAGGGCAGCUUGGUGAAAUGGAGUCUGGAAUAUGAGAAAGUAAAUAAGGAUGUCCCAAAUCCUGAUGCUUACCUGGAGUUCGCAGUUAAUGUUACUAAAGAUAUUGAAAGCCACUACCUCAAGGCAUGACACCAAGGCCAUGUGGUAUCCUCGGUAGUAUUACUUCAAUAACGCUGGUGUUUGUAAUUUGGUUGAGUUGUAUGCUUUACCAGGAGUGGCCUUGUGAUUGGCUGGUUUCUUUUGUAAAGGCAUUAUCAUAUAUGAUGUAAAUACUGUACCUUAAAUAAAAAGAAAAUCAGCAAAGACCCUCCUUUUUAAUGUGGAUAAUUGCUUUUAAUGUCACCUUUGUUGAUCGGUUUACAAGACAAGAGUUAACAAGUAGUCCCUAUUUAUUAAAUAUAAGAAUUUUCUGUAUCCAUUAAUCAUCAUCAGUAAGCUAAUAAAAUGGCUGAUAUUUUUCUUAAUAAAAACAGCAACAGUUACUGAGUUUAUAUAUAGGACACCAGUUGCAGAUUAGAUUUCUUUGGCUUGAUUGUGAUCUUUCUACAUGUUGGAAAAAUAUUGUCAUUUGGUAUUUAAUAUCAAAUUUUAAAAAUAAUAUUUAAGAUAUGAAGAAAAAAACAUACAAUGAUUCAUAUUUUUAACUUUAAUAUGAUUUAAAGUUCAUCGAGUAACCGUUUUGAAAUCAUUCACCCUUGAUCUUCACUUUCCUAGUCUCCCUUUACACGUUCCUUAGUGGUGAGUAUGAAAAUGAUUCCAUUGAAUUGUAAGAAUGGAAAGAGGGAUAAAAAAUUCUUCUAUUUAUAAGCAUAGAAUGAUUCUUCUUAUCAGUGAACCAUUAACUAAAUACUUUAAACAUAUUAUUAAUUAAUAAUAAUAAUAAUAAUAAUUAUUAUUAGAAAAUAAAUUUCAUAAAUAUUAUAAAUUUAAAAAAGAAUCUAAUUUAAUUCUUAAAAAAUUUAUGCAUGAAAUUUUUAUAUUAUUUUUAAUUGUUUUCUAAGGGUUAUUUUAAGAAAUUAUUAUACAAACAUAUAAAAUAAUUAAAAAUAAAACAAUAGAUAUAAAAAUUAUUUUUAAAAAUAUUAAAAAUAAAUUCAAAAUAUUUUAAGUUGCCAAACAAAUUUUUUAUUCUACAAAAAUCAGAGAUAGUUUUCAAAAUCUCUUUUAAAAAACUAUUUUUCAGAAUUAUUUUAAAAAAUAGUUACCAAACAAGCCCUAAAAGAUUUAUAUAUAUAUAUAUAUAUGAAAUUAAAAAAAUAUCAAAUAAUAAAAAUUCAAACAAUGGUAAGGGUGUCACUAAUGAUCGGUUUGGAUUUAAACUAACAUUUUUUUAUAUUGAGUAAUUUAUUUUUUAUUCUAUAUAUUAGAAAAUUGAAUUUAAAUGUAACUUUUUCAAAUAAAAUAGUUAGAUCACACUUGAUAUAUAGUAAUAAUUUUUUAAAAACUAAUGGUCAUAAUUUAAAAAAAUGAUGAAAAAAAAAUCUCAAAUAUAUUGCAUAUGAAUGUAUAUAUUUAGUUUUAUACAACAUGUUAGACAUAUAUUAGUUAUUAACUUAUUAUAAUCUACUAAAAUAUUAAUUCUAUACGAGGGGAUUAGAUUUCUCAUUGUUGAUUUUAUAACCCUCAUUGUGGGAUUAUAAAAUGUCAUUGCAAUCACUCCCAAUUUAGUCUAUGCAAAUCAAAUAUAGAAAUGCAAUUUAUCUCUGUCACAAUUUGUUACACAAUAAUGAUAAUGGAUAAUAAAUAAAUAAAUAAAUAAAAUUAAAGAACACACAUUUAUGUAUAAAACUUUAGAUGAGAAAAAUCAUGGAUAAGGAAAAUGAAUAUCCAAUAUAUCAAAAGAUUGGUAUAAAAGAUGAGAAAUAUAAACAACUAUGAUAAAAAUAUAAUCAUCAUAACCUUAAAAUUAUGUGAAAGUAAUUAACAAAGUAGGUCCAUACAUAAGGACAAAGAGCCCCCUCAAAGGUAUCAAUGGUGGGGGUGUGGGGUGUGGGAUCGGAUCAAAUUCCAACGUUAUCAAUGGUAGGCUAGGGGAUCGGAUCAAAUAGAAUUUGGAUCGCCAAACCUUAAUACAUUUUAUGCUUUUUCUUAUUGGUUUAGAUUUAUGAUAAUCUCCUCCACCAGCAAAAUAAAGUUAUACCGGAGGAUUUUCUUUGUUUUGGCUGUCACACUUUCACUUCUUUGCUAAUAGCCUAACAUCAAAUGAGAAAAUAGAGACAUUUUAAAAAUGAGAACAAAUUCUCGAGGAUUUAGUUGUCUGCCACUAGACUAUAAAAAAUGCUUUCCUGUUAUUUUACCCCCUAAAAUAAGUUUGAUACAAUGCAUCUAUUUUCUGGCUCCGACAAUGUUUAAGAAUACAUCAACCGACCUCAAACCACAUUAUUUCGGUUUGAAAAGAAGGCUUUAUUAUGUCAGUAUGGCUGCUAAGAAGACUUUUGGAAUAUAAUAAAACAAGUCCAGCGAGUUGAUGGUUUGGAAUCGAGAGAUCAUGAAUGAUUUCCCUACUUUAGAGUCAAUAAUUAAGUGGAAUGUGAGAAGGUGAAUGAGGAUGGCCCGGGAUCCAAUGCUUACUAAACUAUUGAAGAUCACCUUCCUGAGGCAUAAUUCCAUUACUUUUCAUCGACGCUGCGAUGCUAUAAAAGAAUAUUAUAAAAAUGCAAGGGUAAUGAAAUAUUGUACAGCCUUUACCGUAUUGAAGAACGUGGACUGAUUGCUAGGGUACCCAACACCCACCAUAAUUCCCACACCAACUCCCAACCAACCCGAUCACGUAGGGCCUCACAUGGCCUCAUUAUCAUUUAUGUGGAAAGAUAAUGCUAAACUAUAUACGGGAUGGCCAUUCUACCAGCCAACCUGUAAUGAUUUUGAUAAAAGUAUACUAAAAAUAGAAGGAGAAAUUAAGUUAUCAUUUGAUAACGGUUUUUAAAAAUUGUUUUUAAUAUUUUAUAAAAUAAAAUUUUAUUUAGAAAUACAAAAUAUUUUUAACUUAUUUUUAAUAUUUUAUAUGUAUAUAUAUAUAUAUAAAGAGAGAGCGCUUUAUUUUUAAUUAUUUUUCAUAUUUAUAUAAUUAUUUUUUAAAACAAUUUCAAAAAAACAAGUGAAAAUAACUAAAAAAAUAUUCUUUGAGAUAAAGAUCAAAAAACAUAAAAUAGUUUUUUUUAUUAUCAAACAUGUUUUAUGUUUUCUAAUCUGUGUUUUUUUAAUUUGUUUUUUGUUUUCAAAUCUUAAGAUCACUUAAUUUUUUAGGGUUUUUUUUAAGAAAUAAUUAUAUAAAUAUAUAAAAUAAUUAAAAAUAAAAUAUUAGACAUAAAAAUUAUUUUUAAAACAUAUUUAAAAAUAUUAAAAACAAGUUUAAAAUAUUUUAAGUUAUAAAAUAAGCUUUUUUUUUUUUACAAGAAUCAUAAAAUAAUUUUUAAAAACUAUUUUAAAAUAUUAUUUUUGAAAAUAAUUAUCAAACCCCUUAUUUUCUAUUCUCAAAAAAUGUUUUUUAAUUAUCAAAUGUGGUGUCUAUUUAAAUUUAAGAUUUUAAAUUUUAAAUUUAGUUAUUUCCAAGUUAUGAUCUCUUGAUAUUAUUUCAACCUAUUAUUUAUUUAUUUGUUUGUUUUUCACAUAAAUAAACUAAAAUUCAAUUGUAUAACCCAGUAUGAAUCACGUGGGCCCUUAGUGAGGCUGGCUACAACUAAAUCAACGUUCUUUUGAUAAUCGAUUGCCUAUGAAAGAAAUCAUCACGCCUUACACACAAUAGAAUAAAUUAAUAAGAAAGUAAGAAGAUUAGAAAGAAAAGCAUCUUAGAGGAAGGGUUUUUUUUUUUUUAACUUCUUGGUGGUGACACUGGAUGGGCUUUUGAUAAUUGUACGACGAAUUUAAAAUUAAUGUUUUAAAAUACGGUAUUAAAAAAUAUUUUCAAAUUUAUGGUACUUUUUACCACUUUGAAACAUGUUUCUUAAAAAAGCAUAUUUCAUCGUUUUUAUAUUAAUGAUACACAUUCAAAAAAAAAAAAAUUAAAGGUGUCUUUUUGAAAUAUAUUUUUCAUAAUUUUUAUAUCAAUAACACACAUUAAAAAAUUUUGAAUUUAUAUUAAAAGUGUCUCUUCAAAAAACACAUUUUAUAAUUCCAUAAAAUUAAAUUUAUAUUAAAAGUGUCUUUUAAAGAUAUACUUUUUACAAUUUUCAUAUCAGUUAUAUAGUGAAAAAAUUGAAUUUAUAUUAAACAUAUUUCUUUAAAAGACAUUUUCUACAAUUUCAUAAAAUUAAAUUUAUAUUAAAGGUAUCUCUUUCAAUAAUUUUUGUAUCAAUCAUCCAUUGAAAUAAUUGAAUUUAUACUAAAAAUAUCUUUUUAAAAGACACCAUCCAUAAUUUCAUAAAAUUAAAUUUAUAUUGAAAUGUUUCUCUUUAUACUUUUAAUAUAAAUUUAAUUUUUUUAUAGGUGAUUAAUAUAAAAAUUAUGAAAAGUAUUUAUUUAAAAAAUAUUUAUUAUAAAUUCAAUUUUAUAGAAUUAUAAAGACGUCUUCAACGUAAAUUCAAUUAUUUUUUCAAUGUGUAAUUGAUAUGAACAUUAUGAAAAAUGUCCUUCAAAAGACACUUUUAGUAUAAAUUUGAUUUUAUGGUAUUAUUAAAAGUAUAUUUCUUUAAUAUAAAUUCAAUUUUUUAACAUGUAUAACUAAUGAAAAAUUAUAAAAAAAUUAUAUUUUGAAGAGAUAUCUUUAAUAUAAAUUCAAUUUUUUAACAUGUAUAACUAAUGAAAAAUUAUAAAAAAAAUUAUAUUUUGAAGAGAUAUCUUUAAUAUAAAUUCAAUUUUAUAGAAUUAUAAAAGAUAUCUAUUGAAAAAAUACUUUUAACAUGUAUCAUUGAUAUGAAAAAUAUAGAAAAUAUCUUUUCAAAAAACACUUUUUAAAAUGGUAAAAAGUACCAUAAAUUUAUCAAAAGUUUUAUAACUAUCAUAGAAAUUUUUUUCAAAAGUUCCAUUUUUUAAUAAUUAUUUUUUUAAAUAGCCGUACAAGUUAUAUAAAAAAAAACCCGAUACUCCAUAAAAUGUGAUCAAGUAGGAUUUGCAUCAUGCAACCUCAUACAAAUAAUAAAAAGCAUAAAUCACUUGAAACUUGAAAGUGAUUGGAAUUUGGCAGACUCUAGCUAGCUAGGUUGCCAUAAAUGACAUGGGUCAGUGGCCGACACCCACCAAACCCAGCACUUAAUAAUAUAAUUAAUAUACUAUUAUUAUAGAACCAUCGUUUUCAGGAUAGGGAGCAUCAAAUUAACCUCCCCAAGUCAAACUGCACAAUUUGUUUCAUCGAAAUCGAAUAUCUAAUAAUGAAUGAUUAUGGGUGAGAUUGCAAUCCGCCAAUCCUUUGCCUAGCUCUUUGAAAAUCAAUGAUGAUGCUUAGUAUUAAUAUUUUAUUUAUCUUUUUAAUAUGAAAAUAAAAAUAUCAAAAUAAUUUUAAACUUUUUUCGUGGAGAUAAUGCUCCCCAGUUAAGCUGCUUAUAAGGUAUAAAUUAAUAAUAACCUUUUAAUUUUAAUAAAAGCAAUUUGAUACAUAUCACAUCUUAAUUCACUUGAGUAAUAACUAUUUAAGAUUGGAUUUAGGUUAACUUAGAUUAAUUAGAUUGUAUUCAGGUUAAUUAAACCAUAAUCAUAUUAUUAUCAACAAUUUCUCACAACUAUCCUAUUUUUAAUAUGAAUUAUUCCUAGUUCUCAAAUUAUUGUUUAGGUAGUUUUAUUAUCUUAAAAAACAUCUUUUUUUGUCAUUGGUUCUGCAUGGUUAUUAAAUAAGAAAAUUAUAAUUAUCUUAUCAACUAAUUUGAAGACUUUUCACAAAUUCAUACUUUAAAAACCUCUUUCUUUGUCGUGGGUCCCUACAUGGUUAUUAAAUAAUAAAAUUGUAAUAAUUUUAUCAAUUAAUUUGAAGACUUUUCACAAAUUUAUACAAUACUAGUUAUCGGAAAUGUGUCACAAAGAAGAUGCCAAGCUAAAAGCAAAUCAUGAUUCAUUAUUUUUUUUCCCAAUUGGAGCUCGAUGACCCAAUCCGAAUGCAUUAACAUCAAAAUUAGUGUUUUAUACUAUUUUCAAUGAACCUUGUCAACAUGAUCGUGAAAUGAUUUAUGAUUAUUUUCAAUAAACCUUUCAUCGAAACUAUGUGUAGAACUGCAUGAAUAAAUAAGAAAUUUUCAUAGUUACAGAUUUGCAUUAUCUCACUCUAUAUGAUUUUAUAUAGUUUUUUUUUUAAUACUUCUGCAACAUUUCUUUAGAAAAAAUAUUGUAUCAAUAAAUUCAGUAAUUUUCAUCAAUUUCAAUCUUAUAAUUAAAUGAUACUUCUGUCAUGUAUAUCACCAUACGUGUCACACUUCAUUCAAGAUCAGGUUGAUUAGUCAUGUAUACCUGCUCCAUUAAUAAAGUAUUAAGUUUUUAUUUUAUUUUAUUAAAAUAAUAAAUAAAUAAUAUAAUUUUUUUUUAUUAGAGGUAGUUAGGUAUCAUUAAAUGAUUUGUUGUCCUGCCAUGUCCCCAAUUAAUAAUUUUAUACUUUUCAUUUUUUUCAAAGGAUUUAAAAUAUAAAAUAUUAAAGAUAAAAUAUCUGAAAGUACCGCUUCCAUACCCAAUCAAAUUUUAAAUCUAAAUUAUUGACAUGUGAGUGAAAUUUGGACUAUUAAAUAAAAAGUGAAAAAAAAAUAAAAUAAUAAAUAAUUAAAAAUGUUCCUGCAAGGAGAUGUGACUAAGGUUAAAAAAGGAGGGGAUAAGGAGCGGCUAGGAAUAUGUAAACAAAAUUCAAAUAAUUAAAAAACGAAAUGAUAACUUCUCAAUGAAAUUGAAUGUUUCAGUUCUAAAAUCCAAAACAAAAACUAUAGUGAAAGAAAAAUUUGAGAAAAUAUAGCAUGGUCUUCUCUUUAAUGAUUGAUAAAUAUUUAUAUAUAAAUAAAGUUUAUUUUCCAUUAUAAUUUAGAUUAGUCGAGUCUUGUUUUCUACUCAAAUUCAAACUUCACAUUUUGUUAUAAUUUAAUCUAAUAAUAAUUGUUUUCACAAGACAAGCUGAAGUUAUCCAUUAAAAUACAACUUUUAAUUAAUAGUUUAAAAAAUAAGAUAAAUUUGAAAAUAAUUUUAAAAUUUAAUAAGUAUAUAUAUUUUUAAAUAGCAUUUUUUUUUUUAAAUUGCCAAAUCUAUGCUCAGAAAAGAUCCACAAAAGUUGAUCAACAAAAGAUACCGAACAGGAAGUAGAUGAUAAUCCAUUAUUUUCUUCUUUAUUAAAGUUUGACAACCCAAUCUGAAUUCAUUAACGUGAAAAGCAGUGUUGUAUGCUCAUUUUCAAUGAACCUUGUCAACAUGCACGUCAAAAACAAUGAUUUAUUAACUACGUACAUGUAGAAUUCCAUGGGAAAAAAAAAAAUACAAUUAAGGCCUUGGGAGAUGAAUAAAAGCUUAACCUAAAAUUCAAAAUUCUCAAAACCAUGUUUUUUCACACCAAAAUGUUUCAUCCAGCCAACCUAAGACCGAUUGAAUCCUCCCUCUAAAGCACAUUGCCCAAGAUUACAGGCAACGUAGUAAUUACCUAAGCAAGUACGUCAGAAUCAUAGCAAUUUUUACCAAAGUGGGUAUCGGGAAGGAGCUUUGCCUAAUUCAUUCUUCGACAAGGUUAUCUACUUCCUCUCGUCACUGCCUUCUGUUUGAAUCAUUUGUAGUUAGUUUUAUCAAUCCAGCUAGUGUUAUUAUCAGAAAAACAUGGCUCUAACUGCUAAAGUGGAGACUGAAACAGAGAUCAAAGCACCUGCUGAUAAGUUCUUUAAACUCUUCAGGAGCCAAGCACACCACCUUCCUAAUAUCUGCUCCGAUAAAAUACACAAAAUCGAGGUACAUGAAGGUGACUGGGAGACUCAGGGCUCCGUCAAGCAUUGGAGUUACACCAUUGG
RNAcentral lists this long non-coding RNA (41913 nucleotides) under Vitis vinifera (wine grape). Its description in RNAcentral is "long non-coding RNA (VVIN_LNC000077)". Lineage: Eukaryota; Viridiplantae; Streptophyta; Magnoliopsida; Vitales; Vitaceae. The record is from RNAcentral.